RNAcentral lists this ribosomal RNA (395 nucleotides) under uncultured Glomeromycotina. RNAcentral's name for it is "SSU rRNA". It matches the Rfam family "Eukaryotic small subunit ribosomal RNA", at positions 569 to 968 of the family's 1831-position model. The record is from RNAcentral. Lineage: Eukaryota; Fungi; Glomeromycota.
AGCAGCCGCGGUAAUUCCAGCUCCAAUAGCGUAUAUUAAAGUUGUUGCAGUUAAAAAGCUCGUAGUUGAAUUUCGGGAUCAAUAUUUCGGUCAUGCCGUUGGUAUGCACUGUUAUCAUUGAUUUCUCACCUUCUAAAGAACCGUAAUGCCAUUAAUUUGGUGUUACGGGGGAUUAGGACUGUUACCUUGAAAAAUUAGAGUGUUUAAAGCAGGCUCACGCUUGAAUACAUUAGCAUGGAAUAAUGAAAUAGGACAUCCGAUUCUAUUUUGUUGGUUUCUAGGAUCGAUGUAAUGAUUAAUAGGGAUAGUUGGGGGCAUUAGUAUUCAAUUGUCAGAGGUGAAAUUCUUGGAUUUAUUGAAGACUAACUACUGCGAAAGCAUUUGCCAAGGAUAGU